CCUCUUGGCGGGGAAUACCUCUGGGAAACCGGAGACAAUACCGCAUAAGCUCGGAAGAGGAAACCCGCAAGGGGCCGAGAGAGGAGUCCGCGGCCGAUUAGCUAGUUGGUAGGGUAAAGGCCUACCAAGGCGAAGAUCGGUAGCCGGCCUGAGAGGGCACACGGCCACACUGGCACUGAAACACGGGCCAGACUCCUACGGGAGGCAGCAGUGGGGAAUCUUGCACAAUGGGGGAAACCCUGAUGCAGCGACGCCGCGUGAGCGAUGAAGCCCUUCGGGGUGUAAAGCUCUUUCGACGGGAACGAUAAUGACGGUACCCGGAGAAGAAGCUGCGGCUAACUACGUGCCAACAGCCGCGGUAAUACGUAGGCAGCAAGCGUUGUUCGGAGUUACUGGGCGUAAAGAGUGCGUAGGCGGUGCCCUAAGUCUGUUGUGAAAUCUCCCGGCUUAACUGGGAGGGUGCGGUGGAAACUGGGGUGCUUGAGUGUGGGAGAGGUUAGCGGAAUUCCUGGUGUAGCGGUGAAAUGCGUAGAUAUCAGGAGGAACACCGGUGGUGUAGACGGCUGACUGGACCACGACUGACGCUGAGGCACGAAAGCGUGGGUAGCAAACAGG
This 615-nucleotide ribosomal RNA is filed under the name uncultured bacterium. Its description in RNAcentral is "bacterial SSU rRNA". It matches the Rfam family "Bacterial small subunit ribosomal RNA", at positions 129 to 776 of the family's 1533-position model. The record is from RNAcentral.